RNAcentral lists this ribosomal RNA (876 nucleotides) under Triticum aestivum (bread wheat). RNAcentral describes it as "partial small subunit ribosomal RNA". The record is from RNAcentral. Lineage: Eukaryota; Viridiplantae; Streptophyta; Magnoliopsida; Poales; Poaceae.
AUGGCCGCCGCGUACAAGCUCCUCCUCUCCUGCCCCGAAGGCCUCCCUCGAUCCCGAGUUUCGGUGAGGUUUGGUCCGUCCUUCGACCGGAUCCACCACCCGGACGCAUCCCUGGAGGAUUCUAUAGGCGAGGUGAUCUGGAAUCAAAGGCUCCAGCAGAACCCAUCGCUGUACAACGGCACGAAAUUUCGGUAUGGAGGGCAUGCCUUGCACCGCAGUGAUGAAUCAAAUCAGGUGUACUGUGUCUCACUUCAUUUGGGACUCACAGAUUAUAGGACAUUUGUUGGAACAAAUCUCAGUCCACUGUGGGAGAAAUUUUUGGUCCCCUCUCAAGAUGACUCUGUGUAUUGCCAACACAUGUCAAAUCCACUGGGAAAUGGUGCAAUCGUUGAAACAUCUGAUGAAAAAAUUAUUGUAUUGCAAAGGAGCAACAAUGUCGGCGAGUCUCCUGGACACUAUGUUUUUCCUGGAGGACAUUCUGAGCCACAAGAAGUUGGAAUCUUGGCUCAUCAAAAUGAAGAAAAAGAUGUCAGUGGUCUCAUUGAAAGAAUUUCAAAUGAAAUGUUUGAUGGAAUCAUCCGUGAAGUAGUUGAGGAAACUGGAGUUCCUGCUAGUUCACUGACAGAACCCAUUCUCAUUGGAGUUUCUCAGCGAGAAACGAAUGUUAGACCAGCAGCAUUCUUUUACAUGAGAUGUAACAUUGAUUCCAGCGCCGUAACUGAGCUUUAUGCUAGAGCUCAAGAUGGUUAUGAAUCCACCAAGCUCUAUGCAGUAUCAUUGAAAGAAUUACGAGAAAUGAGCCAGCGGUUGCCUGGUUGCCACCUAGGGGGCUUUGCUCUGUAUGAACUUAUGAGGAACGCUUCGGAAAGUUCGUGA